GAUGAAGAACGUAGCGAAAUGCGAUAAGUAGUGUGAAUUGCAGAAUUCAGUGAAUCAUCGAAUCUUUGAACGCACAUUGCGGCCAUAGGUAUUCCUUUGGCCAUGCCUGUUCGAGCGUCAUUUACACCCUCAAGCCUAGCUUGGUGUUGGGCGUCUGUCCCGCCGUUUUCGCGCGCGGACUCGCCUCAAAGUCAUUGGCGGCGGUCGUGCCGGCCCCCUCGCGCAGCACAUUUGCGCUUCUCGGAGGCCCGGCGGAUCCGCGCUCCAGCAAGACCUUUCACGACUUGACCUCGGAUCAGGUAGGGAUACCCGCUGAACUUAAGCAUAUCAACAAGCGGAGGA
Molecule: unclassified non-coding RNA, 342 nt
Filed under: soil metagenome
Description: partial contains 5.8S ribosomal RNA, internal transcribed spacer 2, and large subunit ribosomal RNA
Rfam family: 5.8S ribosomal RNA (bases 1-120)
Source: RNAcentral